UGCAGCUUUUCUCUUUGCAGAGGAAGGCAGAGCUCUCUCUGCAUUGGACCGUAUGUAGUAAAUCUGCUGAAUGACUGUGAUGGAUUUAAAAUAAUUGUAAUGUAGUAUACCAAGGUACUGUUUGCAUUUGGAAUUGCAGGUCACUUUUCCUUCUGUACAGGGGAACACAUUGCAAGCGAAUGAGUAAUUCUGAGAACAGUAAUUCUAAGACAUUUGCAGAUACCAAGUGGUUUCCUGGAAUAACAGGCACUCUCAAGAGAAACGUCAGACCCGUUUAAUCAGUCACAUUUAGAGCUCUGCGACAUCUGCAAGUGAAUUAUUAAUGAUCUCAAAUGUUUUAGAUUUAUCCAAAAGUCAGGAAUAACGUGGCCCUUCAGAUGAUCAGCUCUGAUUCAAGGCUUAUCCUUUCUACUCUAGGCACUAGAGACACUGCAGCUGCUUGCUGCCGCUGACUGCCGUUCCCCGUUUGCCACCGCGGCUGCACCCCUCUGUAGGCACUGAGAGCUGAACAAAUGCAAAGUGCAGCUGGCAUCCAGCUGCAUCUAUAUAGUUACCAUCUAUCUGAUAAAUAGCCUCUGAUCAGUGCGCUACGGGUUGAGCUACCUUAAGGGAUGCUCCAGGGACCCCCAUUCCCGUAUGGCGCCCGUCUCUACAAACGACUGCUGUCCGCAAACAUCCUCCACGUUUGCACCGAAGUCGUGGAAGAUUGUCCUAGGCUCAGCGUCUCUUUUCUUGUUUAUGAAAAUGAAGAACUGCAAACAACAAAGUCCCUAAAGGCGUGUACACCUUGUAAGUGAGAUGUUCUUAUAAAAAGAGGCAUAGUUACUCAUGCUGAGGUCUGGAUUUUCCUAAGAUUGCUACGUCAACAGAAGCCUAACCUACUGGCACGCCCUUGCUCAGCCUCCUGUGCCAGACUGCCACCGGCUCCUUUCUCCAUGCGAGAGAUUUGAGAGGAGAAGUGCUCGAGACAAAGUCCCCUAGACAAAGUCCUGGUCAUAUGGCUGUCCUCUGUGCUUAGAAGAAUAUGAACUAAAAGGGAAGAUUAGAGAAGAGGAAUGUUGCAGGAAAGGUUUUAUCCUCCAUAGCUCCCUUUGCAUGUCAUGAAAGAAGGCAGAAGAAGGCAAGAGGGGCCUUUCCACAUUGCAUCUGCUUUGAGGCAUGGCUUUAUUUUCUUCUUAUACACACUGAAAGCAUCUGUCCUCCUUUACAUAUGCUUGUGUAAGGCUUAAAGAAGUUCCAGUUCUUUGGAUCCAAAAUCAUUCUUGUAUCCAAAACAUUAACCCAGCUCUCCUUGAGUAAGAUCCAGGAGGCAGUGCCUAUGGCAAACGACUCCCAGGAGCUUUGGUUGGGAGAGUGCCUACGUAGCCCAGUGAAAGGGAGGGCUACAGGCUGAGGUAGGAGGGAAAUGAAACUAAUGACCUUAAAACUAUUUAUUUCUGCUAUUUGGAGCACACCAUUAAUCAUGCUGAAUUGUGUUUCUUUUGCGUGGCAUCUCAUCUGGGCCUUGGUCCUCCACACAUCUUGUAAACAAAGGUAUGUUAUUGCCUGGUAAUACUUUCAAGAAAUAAUUGCUGAAACAGAGACCUAUGAAUGUCUUUCUUUUCUUUGGCUGGAAGCAUUAUUUAAUAAAGAAUGAGAUCAGCUAAAGAUGUAGGAGUUA
This is a long non-coding RNA of Struthio camelus australis, 1660 nucleotides long. The record is from Ensembl. NCBI's taxonomy places the organism in Eukaryota, Metazoa, Chordata, Aves, Struthioniformes, Struthionidae.